RNAcentral lists this long non-coding RNA (12298 nucleotides) under Medicago truncatula (barrel medic). RNAcentral's name for it is "long non-coding RNA (MTRU_LNC005937)". The record is from RNAcentral. Lineage: Eukaryota; Viridiplantae; Streptophyta; Magnoliopsida; Fabales; Fabaceae.
AAUGCAUACUCAUCCUGGUGCUACCGAAUUAUUGAUAAUAGUUCAAGGUGAAAUAACCGCUGGAUUUCUGACACCUACCGCAGUUUAUUCUAAGACGUUGAAACCGGGUGAUCUUAUGGUUUUUCCACAAGGGAUGUUGCAUUUUCAAAUUAACACUGGUAAGGGAAAAGCAACUGCUUUUCUUACUUUUAGUAGUGCUAACCCUGGUGCUCAAUUACUUGAUCUUCUUUUGUUUUCGAAUAAUUUACCUUCUCAAUUGGUGGCACAAACUACUUUCCUUGAUCUUGCACAAGUGCAGAAGCUAAAGGCACGUUUUGGUGGAAGAGGGUAGGGAUAUGAUAUUGUUUGGUCAUGAUCAUAACCCACUCUCCUUGUGUAAAUGUUUAUUCCAAUAAUCACCUAGUGGUGGAUUUGAUUGUGUGUCUGUGUUAUUUUAUUUUAUUCUAUGUUUUAGCUAUUCCAAAUGUUAUGAUAUAUGGUUACUUGUGAUAAUGAAGUAAUAAAUUGUGUGUGAUACAUUUCUUGGUUCCUCUUUCUAUCUCUCAACCUGUCUCCUAAUUUUUUUGUUGAAUUAUGGCAACAUUUAAAAUUGAAUUGAAGAUUGAAUGAGCACGACCUGGAGAUUAUGAUUUAAUUAGCUCAAUCACUUGAAUCACAAUUGAACUAAAUGAUUAAUCUAUAAAUAAAAAAAGUAAUUGCAAAAACAAAUCUUAUUAAAUUAUUACGAUUCAAUCGGUUCAACCUUAUUCAAAAUGACUUCGAUGCGACUAUGAUUUCUAACCCAUUUUAUUUUAGAUUUAACUAGUUGAACUAAUAAUUUAAUAGAAUAUGCAACUUAGACUUAUUUACCAUUUUUGGGUGUUAGAAGUUAGAAAAUUUUACAUGAUGUGGAUAACAUCACAAUACAAUUCAAAGUAGUGGGCUAUAAUUUAUGAGAAAUGAUAUUUGAACAAUAAUUUUUAACAACUUUUGUGACAACUUUAUCUCUCAUACUCACAUUAAUUUUUUACUCUCUCUCUAUUGCUUUGGUUUUUGUGUCACUAUCUCAUUUCUUUUGCAAAAUUUUGAUUGUCACAAAAGUUGUCACAUGUAUGGAUGUUCAUAUAACACAACUCAUAAUUUAUUCAUUAAAACCUUACUUAUAUAUCAACAAGCAAAACUAGGCGUAAGACGAUUGAGUCAGCCUCUACUUGGUAGUUGGUUCUAAUCUCAUUGCCAUUGCUUCGGUGCAUCAACCUCGAGAGUGUGGAAACGGUAAAUUGGUUUGCGAGUACUGAUUCGCGGUAUUUUAAUGAAUUUGUUUGCGCAAAAUCGUGAGCAAUUCAUAGCAAAGUGCGUACGUGACAGAAGUAUAAAACAAAUCAAACAAGUUUAAUUCAAAUUUCACAUAUUGUAUGUCAAACACAAUAAAUAUCUGACCAACUUGAUAGAAGAGCUCAUCUGCCAUGAACAUGCAGCAACCAUUAGUGCAAACUGUAAAAUUAGGUCAUAGAAAAUUCAAGGCUAAAAUAUGGUUUUAGUCCCUGCAAAUAUGUCUCGUUUUGGUUUUAGUCUCUGUAAAAAGAAAAUUUUGUUUUUGGUCCCUGCUAAAUAAUUUGUUUUUGAAAAUAGUCCCUAGCCCCACUUUUGUGAUGAUUUGCAUACGUGUUACAUUAUAACUGAACCAAUUUUGUAGUUUUUGGUCCCUGCAAAAUAUUUUGUUUUUAAAAAAGGUCCUUGAAUUUUUUUUUUGUUUUUGAAAUUUUUUGCAGGGACCAAAAACAAAAAAUUUUGUUUACAGGGACUAAAACCAAAACGAGGCAUAUUUGCAGGGGCUAAAACCAUAUUUUAGCCAAAAUUCAAAUGCAUAGUAGUGUGUACCACUACCAACCUGGAUGUUGUGCAGGGGCAGCUAAGAAGCUUAUAGUAAAAUGGUCAUAUAGAGAUUAAGGUUCUUGUAUAUGCAAAAACAAUGAUUAUAAAGAGUCAUAUAUUAUAUAUAGGCUUAAAUAAGUAAAAGGUCUCUGUAAGUUGGCGCAUUUUUGGUUUUAGUCCCUGUAAGUUUUUUUGUUGCGAGACAAACCCUGUAUUUACCAAACGUUUUGGAUCUAGUCCCUGCCGUCCAAUUCCGUGAAAAAAUGAUGACCUUGCUAACGGAGCAAUACGUGGCACUUCGUGAGUUGGCACUAGUUGAUGACUGGGGUUAAUAUAGGGACUAAAACCAAAAAUGCAAUUUAACAUAGGGACUAAUUUAAAAAAACGUAAUCAUCAAUUUUUAAAUUUUAAAAACCAGUCUUUCCUUCUUCUUCCUCUCUCUGUUCUUUCCUUCUUCUUCCUCUAUUUGUUAGUUCUUUAAUUGCUUGUGCCCAAAAACUCAAACCUCAUUUCCUUCAACGAUGUCUUCUCAUUCCAUUUCUCAUUCAUCAUCAAAUGAGUUGCCUAUAAGUGCCAAUUACUUCUUUAAGUUCUGCUUCAUUUGUUCCUCCUUGAGUCUCCAAAAGCAAAUCAGUGAUAAUUACUUCCAUUUGUUUCCCCUCGCGCACCUUAAUCUUAGCCCAUCCAACCAAGUUUGUGUCACCAAAAUCCUCCUUAUCACCAGGCCUUUUCCCAUUAAGAAGUUCCAUCAUUACAACACCAAAUGAAUAAACAUCACCCUUUGCAGUGCACCUGAAACUUUGGUAAUACUUUGGUGGAACAUAUCCAGGUGUUCCUGCUAGUGUGCUUACACUGAGAUGUGUAUCAAGUGCACUUAUUAGUCUUGCCAUUCCGAAAUCCAAGACUCUUGACUCCAUUUCAUUGUCAAGUAAUACAUUGCUUGACUUCAUGUCUUUGUGUAUGAUGUGAGGGAUGCAAUUAUGAUGCAGAAAACAAAGUCCUUUAGCAGCACCUCUUGCAAUCUUCUUCCUUUCUUCCCAUGUUAAAAUUCGUCGAUCACAUGUCUUUAUUCUUCUGUGGAGCAUCUCUUCUAGGCUUCCAUAUUCCAUGUAUUCAUAAACAAGUAGCCUCUCUUCUCCUACUUUGCAGUAUCCCAAUAAAGGGACAAGGUUUUUAUACUUGAUUUUUUCUAAGGUUUCCAUCUUAGCCAUGAAUUCUCUAUCACCUUGGCAACUCAGUCGAAUGAGCUUCUUUAUCGCGACACAUGUUCCGUCUUUGAGUGUGGCCUUAAACACUUCACCAAAACCACCACAACCAAUGAGGCUUGCUGCUGAGAAGCCAUUGGUUGCUUCAAUCAACUGUGAGAAUUUAAGCUUUCUCAAUUACCUCUGAAAUGUUGCAAUAUUAAUGCAUAAUGGCUCUUUCUCUUUAUCAAUUUUCCAUGUUGUAGCAGCAUGACAUGCGAAUUGGAGAUGAACAUCCUCAUAAUUUUUCUACAACCACAUAUUGACAACUCAUUUGAUGAUGAUUGACAAAUGGAAUGAGAAUACAUUGUUCCAUGAAAUGAGUUUUUGGUGUUAGGGCGCAAAGCUAUCGAAGGGUGGGAAUGGCAGAAAUGAAGAAGAGAGAAAUAACAUAGUGAGGAAGAAGGUGGAAAUAAUAAGUUUUAAAAUUCAAAUUUUGAUGAUUAUGUUUUUUAUUUUCAUCCCUAUGUAAAUUUGCAUUUUUGGUUUUAGUCUCUCUAAUAACCAAUUGCCAACUCAUCAUAUGCCACAUAUUAGUCCGUUAGCCAGCGAAGCGUUUUUUUGACGGAAACGGACGGCGGGGACGAAUGUCAAAAUGUUAAGUAAAUACAGGGGUUGUUUCGCAACAAAAAAAGAUACAGGAACUAAAACAAAAAAUGCGCGAACUUACAGGGACCUUUUUCUUAUUUAAGCCUUAUAUAUAUAUUGUUCAUCUUCAAAAUGUCACGACGACAACGUAAAUUAAUGCGGCACUGCAAAAAUAAUAUCACUAAACACAAACUGAAACAAAUUUCUAGGGAGAUAUUCCUGAUGGCAGUUGCAUCGUUCAAGACAGAAGUAAUUGUUCUUUAACUUAUUUUCUAAAUACGCAUACAAUUGUAAAACACAGUCAAAUUUUAUUGAGUGAAAUUAUGGUUGGAACGUGAUGGAGAUUUCCAUUCCUCCAAUUCUCUUCGUACACCUCUCUUGUUGUACCCAAUUUCUUCGAAGGCCUUUAGGGAUGGUGCUGUUCGUUCAACGGUGUUACUGCCAAUACAAAAGAUUAACAGUGUUCAAUAAAAUCCUAUAUGUUAGGAAACAAAGUGCUGAAGAAGAAAAAUAAGCACAAUCACAAUAUAAGAAUAUAAUGUUAGGAAACAUGGUAUCCAUGAAAAGAAGGAGAGAAAACUAAGAAACUCUUUCUAUUGAUGAAAAUGGAAUAUUACAAAAUGAGAAAAGUACCCUCUAAUGGGGUGGUUACAAGUUAUUUAUACUACUCUCUACUAGGACUAAUAUGCUACUAAUCUAUAUCUCUAAUAGUCCCCCUCAAGUUGGAAGGUGUUCAAAACACUUCCAACUUGAAAUGAGAAAAUACAAGGAAAGAUGCCAGAAAUACAUUGGCCAAGAACAUAGCAACAAUCAAAGGCUUAUCCAACAAGAGGAAACCACAACUCAAGGUGUAAUCACCUUGGAGGAAGAAGCAGCAAACCAACGCUUAACCACCAUCCGGUAGAAGCCAAUCAUCAACAAAGCCUUAAAAGGCACAAUGCUUAACCAUCAAGAGUUCUCAAUAACUCAAGACAGAAGCACAAGAAGAAGAAGAAAAUGACGCUUAACCAUCCUUGGACAGAAGCACAACGACGCUUAACCAUUCAUGACAGAAGCUUAUCAACAUAGCUUAACCAUCAUGAACAGAAGCACAAGACAAGAAGAGUAAGGAUAUCUAAAAUCAAUGAUGAUCUCCAAAAGAAAAAGUGCAAGGAAGGGCCAAAGUUUACAAUGGAAGGAGGUCAUAUGUUGAACAAACUGCACAUCAAAGGUACCAUGAAGCAACAAGACCAAGGUUCCAAAGUUAAAAAAGAGAUGCGCUCCAAUGCCGAGCCGAGACAAGAAAAACCAAAUGCAAGCCAAUAGAGAUGCAUAGCCAUGUGAGGUGUCUUCAAACCAUAGAAAACAAAUCCAUGUUGAUGCAUUCAAACCAUAGGCCAACAAAUCAAUACUUCCAACAAUGAAGCUUAAGAAAAUACCAACAUAGCCAAAACCAGAAAAAAAAAAAUGCAGCAGUAAUGCUGCACAAAAUAAAACCAAAAUGCAGCUAAGAGACAUCAAAAUGAACUCAAGAAGAUGCUUUAACGGUCUGCCCAAAAAUUCAUCAACGAUCCAGGAACAAUCCCAUGCUUCAGAUAUCAAACCAAGGCUUCCAAAAACGAUCCUAAGCCAUCAAGAAAUAAAUCCAUAGCCAAUGAACAAAAUGCAGUAGCAAUAUGAAGCACUGUACUGUGUUGGAAUAGCAUGCAACACUAACAAAAUGCCUAAUCAGCCUCACAAUUUCAUUUGUUCCUUUCACACACAAGAAUAUAGAGAAACCAUCUGAACAGCUUGGAGUGUACUAAAGGCUUCUUCAAUUACUAUUCAAAAAAUGCUUGACCAUAUCAGAUCCAACACCAUGAUAAGCAAUCAAAUGCCAAACAAAACUUAGCCCACCAGUAUGCAAUAUCUAUAAGACUACCAAGUGUGAUAGCAACACCAUAAAAGAAACAAAGAAGUAUGCCAAAACCAAUGAUAUCCAAAGAGAAUGUAGAACAAACAACCAAGCUGUAAUUGGAUCCCAAAGAAUGCAUCAAAAAAACUAUACGUGAAAGGAAGAUCCUUACAUAACACUGCAACAACAUAGCCAUACACAUAAGUCUGGGUCCGCCAAUCUUCAAUCAUAAUAUAAGAGUACCUUAACAUGAACUGCUCCAAAAAUGUAGUAGUGAUGAAGAGGUUCACAAGAAAAUGCACGCAUAGACCAAUAACGUCAUGCAGCAGUCAACAACAGCACCUCAAAGCAAGUCCAAUGCAAUGUUGGAUCAGAACAAAUUGCAGUGUUACCAACAACCAUCACCAUCAAACUGAACGUAAUAUGCAAUAAGGACCAAAAAACACCAAAAUAUCAAGGUAAUAGAAUCCAACUCUAUCUGCACCACAUGCACAAUUGUAUACAACCAGAGAAAAUGAACUAAUUGCAGCCUUGUCUAAAUAGCAGAACAUAGAACUUCAUCAAAAGAAUCAUGAACCAAGAAUCAAUAUGUUUGCAGUGAGGACUUGCUACAAACAUCUUGUGAGCACAAUAGUCAUAAACUGCAGUUACAAUAAAACUCGCUUAUGAGAAACCGAAUUCUCAAUACAAUACAAUAAUGAAACAGGGAAGAAGAUGAAAUAUCAACGACACAUAGAAUCAAUGCGAAAAAGACGACUCUGAGCCGAAUCGAAAAUUUUAAUGAAGAGGAAUCGCAAAAAAAAAUAAAAUUGAAUCACGGAUUCGAAUCGAAACUGGAAAUUGCGAUCGAGUAAGAAUUCGAUCAAGACUUUUGAAUCACGUGGGAAAUUGAACCAAAACUAACAGAACAAAGAAGAACGAACAAAGAAAAUUGAUCGAGAGAGAAAAGGAAAUCGCCAUUGUAACUGAAUCGCAAACCCUAAGAUUUGGGAAAAAGACACAAACGGAAUCACGAAGCAAUCGAUCGAACAAAAAGAUGUAAAAGAAUCGAAUGAAAUUGAGAUGCAGAUCAAAAGAGAAAUCGAUCGAACAAAUCAAUAACAGAAAAACGAUUCGAGUACAAGACAAAGGAAAAUGAAGAAAAUGAAGUGAUAAAAGAGAAAAAUCAGAACGAAGAAGAAAAGGAAAACAACACGAGAAAAAUGAACUUUUCUCGAGAAAAUGCAGCGGAAAAAUUGUUCAAGGUGGAUACCAAUCAUGCUCUGAUACCAUGUUAGGAAACAUGGUAUCCAUGGAAAGAAGGAGAGAAAACUAAGAAACUCUUUCUAUUGAUGAAAAUGGAAUAUUACAAAAUGAGAAAAGUACCCUCUAAUGGGGUGGUUACAAGUUAUUUAUACUACUCUCUACUAGGACUAAUAUGCUAAUAAUCUAUAUCUCUAAUAUAUAACGUGGAAACUUUAAAACUGGAUAAAAAACCACGACCGUUGUCUAAACCGACAACCAGAAAAUGAUUACUAUGGGAUUUUUUUUACAACACAUAGACUUCUCUCACUCUCACCCCAAUGCUCCAGUACAAUCAUACUCUCACAAAGCAAAUAUUUAAACUAAGUCAGAUAUAAGCUUAAAGUGCUACUGACUGGUGCAUCUACAAACAAAGAACCUAGGUCCAAUAUAUAGUCAUGGUCCUCCCAUUGCUUCACCACACUAAGCGAUGUAGGACUUUUCCAAUAGCAAAUAUUUUUUAACCUCCUUAUUUAUUUAAGAAACUUGACAAUCAAACCCAACAAUCUCCACCUUGAUUGUACGAGUUUCAUCUUUCGCUUCCAUUGUUUAUACUGACAAUCAUACUCCACCAUAAAGAGUAUACUUCACUUGAAACUAGACCUUUCCAAGAAUUUCUCCACGUCAAAACCUUGCUGAAAGAUUACGGUGCAACUCCCAUGUUGGAUUUCAGGAAGUUCUUCAGCCAUCGACACAUCUCACCACACACCUUGCAUUAAUUAAUUUCUUAAACAAUUUAUAAUUAAUUUGUAUCUCGUUUAAAGACUACAAAAUUUCAUUGUGAAGGUUCUUAUCAUGUUCUAGUCAUGCCUACAAAAUUAGGGAACUAAAUUUGACUUGUGAGUAUACGCUUACGCGGAACAAAAUUUCAAUUUUGCAUGUUUUGAUUGAAAAAUCAAAAUAAAUUUAAACGACUUCGAAAUGCAAUGAAACUUUACAGAUCCGUUUUAUGUAUUUUUUUAUAGAUGUCUAUGCAAAUAAUGAGCUCAAAAUUCGAUUUAUAGGUCGAGAUUUCCAUUGUUUUGUUUUUUGAGCUUUUGACACUUUAAAAAUUCAUAAUUAAUUUGUCGUAUGUCGAAAAUUUAUAUAUUUUUAGUGUAAAGCCAUAUUUUAACAUUCUUAACUCGCCUCUAACAAAUCAUGAAAAAAAUUGAAUCUCUCGGUUUCUUUUUUGGACUUCGCAUAUAUUACAGAGUUAUAAAUAAUAAAAAUCUUGAGUUACAUGGUAAGAAUACAUGUUAUUUAAUUACAGGGCCAAUUUUCAGACUUCACGUAUAUUAUAUGAUCAAUUUCAAUUAAUAAUCUUAUUUUAAAUUGUACUUUUGUUGACUAAAUGAUAAAACCUAUUUUAUUUCGAUUUUUUUAAUUAAAAUUAAAAUUAAAAAAAAAGUUUCAAUUUAUGAUUGUUGAUAUAUUAUGUCGCAUGUGAAUUUGCGAUAAAUUUUUUGCCCAAUCUCCAUAAAUUUCCAGACUCCGCCACUGUAUAGUACCUACUCAAAGAAUACUUGUUAUCAUCCCUAAUUGUGCGCUAACACUCCUCAAUUCAAAAUGACAUAAUAGCAUGCUUGUUGAGGAAAAAUUAUUGCCUUUAUUAUAACAAAAUUAGUUAAUUUUUUUUUUGAGGAAAACUGAAUUAGUUAGUGAAAAUUAAGUAAAAGACUAUGAAGAUAAUUUAAAUUUAUACAAAUCGUCACUUGACCAAUCUUAUUGCAAUAAAUUAAUAAAACGUCAUUUCAAAAAGAUUUGUGGCUGAUCCUUAAAAAAUAAAAUCAUUCCGUGACAAUUUUUUUUAUUCUUUUUCAAAUCUUUACUCUAAAUCUUCAUCUGUCACACACAACUAACUCAAACAUCCAUAGACGUGCAAUCAAUCUCAAUGAAAGAUUAGACUACAGGGUCUUUUAUUAAUACUCUUUGUGUACACAAAUUGAAUUCACUUAAAUGUUGUUUAAAAUUCUAAUUUUAGAGUUUACAUGAAAUGAAAGAACAUAUGUUGACUCACUUAUUGUAACCUUACAUGAAAUAAGACAACAUAUAUGUAUGCAUUGUUUUAAAAACAUUGAAGAUAAACUGAAUUUACGUAGGGUAUAUAAACUGAGUUUGCAAAUUAUACAACUCUACGUAAAUUAAGAUAGAGAAUGGAGAGAGAAAAAGGAAGAUAGAGAAUAAGAAGAUAAUGUGAGUAUGAGAGAGAAAGUUGUUAAAAUGUUUUUUUAAAGAAAAAAGUUGUUAAAAUGUUGUCACAAAGUGGAUGUACAAAUAUCAUUUCUCUAUAUAAAAUAUACAAAAUAUAUGGAGGAUUAUUGAUAAAAAAAAACAUGGGGAUUAAUUAUUGCUAAGAAUAAAUUAUUUUGAAAUACUCCCCUAUUUUUUUUUUUAAAUUCUCUUGACCAAAUUUUUCUUUUUUUAAAAUUCAUUGAAAUAAACCAAAAACAAAUACUCCAUUUCUAACAAAAAUAUAGACAUAAAGAGGAUCAAAGCGUCAAAUAGUCUUGCCCUCAAUUUUUUUUACUUUUAGAACAUCUUUUGUUUAUGUUUUCGUUACAAAGAGUAUGCAAAAUUAGACUGACUUAUUUUAAUUCAUUUAUAUAUAAUAUAUGGUAGUAUUUGUGAUAAUGUUUGUUAGAACCUAUGAAAAUAAUUUAUAACAUCUAAGUUUAGUUCCAUAAUUUUACAGAAUAGUUUAUAGAAACAACUUAAAAAUAUAUUAAAUAUAAAUGUUUUUUUUUUGUUUUAAAAAAGUAUAUAGAAAUAUUUAUAUUGAUAAGCUUAUAAUAUAUAUAUAUUAUGAAGUAAAAACAUCCUUUGUAUAUUAUAAACGAUUAAUUAUUUUGUUUAUUCAAAUAUGACCUCCUAUAUUAUUUUUUUUUUUGUUGGAAAGACGUCUAAAAACUAAUCAUUUUUGGUGGUGGUCGGGGUUCAACCCAGUAUAUAUUAUGCAUUGUUCCUACCCACUGAGCUAAGCUCAUGAUGACCCAAAAACCAAUCAUUGAUACACGAUAUAUAUAUAUAUAUAUAUAUAUAUAUAUAUAUAUAUUGACAAAAAUAAAUGAUAUGCAUUCAUUCAAAUUGAUAGAGUUCAUCGAUACAAUACUAAUUCGAUAAAAAGAAAAAGAAUGAAUUUGCGAACAAACUCAUAACAUCCAUGUUAAUAUCAUAAAACAACAAAGUACAAAAACAUACUUAUAUGACUAUAUUCAAGUAUCCGGAAUACCCAUGUCUCUAGAUCUGCAACGUGGACGACGCAAAGUCAUAGAUUGAAUCUGCACUGGUCGAAGCGGAUAUGACAAUCUAAACCGAACAAAUACCUGCAUGAAACAAAUAAGACAAACAAUGUUGCACAAAGACGACGAACAAACCAAUGUCGCACUAUGACGGCGAAAUCACAAAAUAAAAAACAAAAUAGAUGUGAAAAUCACUUAUUUCAAUUAAAAGAAAAUAAAAAAGCGAGUUAGAUGGGUGAUUUAGGGUUAAAAACUGACUCUAAAACACCUCUACUUGAUAGAUGAGGGAGAAGAAACUAGAGUUUUGGUGACGGCUCACAAGAAAGAAAAAGAAAAGAGAAAUUUAUAUAACGAUAUAGGUAUCUCUAAGUAAAUUUGUUAAAAAAAAAAAGUGUCACUAAGUAAAACAUAGAUAAAAUAAAGAGAACCAAUAUGGAAAUAUAUAAAAAAAUGCAAACAAAUAGAAGACUAUAGAUAUGUUAAAUAAAUUUUUAGUUAUAAUUUAUUAAAUAAAAAUUUUAUUAAUUUAAUUUGUCAAAAAUAAAACCUUAUUAAUUUAAAUUGACUAAAAAAUGAGUGAUAAUGUGUCAACAAAAUUCACUAGAAUCCCUAGUCGUCACCCAUUUCUUCUUCUUGUCUAUUGAAGAUGAAUGAUUUAGGGUCAAUUCUAACCUAAAAUCACCCAUCCGAAUUGUUUUUCUUUCUUUUCUAGUUGAAUAAGUGAUUUCCAUAUAUUUUUUUAUUGUUCUUUCGUUUGUUUUUGUGAUUUCAUCGUCUUUGCAUGACUCUGUUUAUUUUGAUUUUCCAUCUUAAUGUCGUGUUUAUUUGAUUGAGGUUGAAAUAUUAGCUUUGAUUAGGUGCAAAUCCGAAGACAUGAGUAUUCCAGAGAUUUGAAUAUAGUCAGGUUUGUAGGCAUAAAUACUUUGCAGUUUUAUGUUAACAUGAAUGUUGUGAUUUAUCCUUUUUGUUUUUAGAGACUUUAAAUUUAUAUUAUAUCGAUAUACUCUAUAAAUUAAAAUGAAUGAAUAUCGUUUAUUUUUUUUAAAAAAAGUCAGCAGAAUUAAAAUACUAUGAUUUGCUAAUUUGCUCAUUCACCUAUAUUGUUUAGUUGGUUUAUAUUAGUAAGUUGGAAUAUAUUAUUAUCCAUGAGAUCAUAUGGUUUACGUACUGAUUUAUCUUAUAUUAUUUUUUUUGAAAUAAUUUACAUUAUAUUACUAAAAAAAUGGAAUCGUAUUGGUGGCAUAUGAACUGGGACCGUCAUUGCUGUAUUAUCAUUGCUAUAUGUAGUUUUUAUUUCAUAUGCUUGGGCCUAUAUUAUAUGGUCAGACUGUAUUAUAUUUGGAUCUUCUUACAGGUAAGCUGACUUUUAUAAAAUUUGAAUCAUUAAGAAGGUAACGUUUUCCAUAGGACAAACAUGAGUUACUAUAAUUAGACAUUAUCAUUCCUUUGUUUUUUUCGGAUAAUUUUUUAUAAAUUCUUCUUAUUUCACAUAUAAUAUUUUUUACAUUUCCCUCCCUCUCUACCUCCCUAUAAAUAGCUUGCCAAUUCCAUCGUUUCCUCAUACCAAGUUCAAUAAUCAAAAAUCAUCAUCCAAUAAUAAGAUGAAGAUUAUUCACAUAGUUUUUCUUUUCUUUUUUCUUUCAUUCACUACUUCCCAAGCUUCUGUCAAUGAUUUUUGUGUAGCAGAUUUAAAGGCUCCAGAUACCCCUUCAGGCUAUCAGUGCAAACCCCUAGCAAAUAUCACAUCAGACGAUUUUGUCUUUCAUGGCUUCGUAGCCGGAAACACCAACAACUCUUUCAACGCUGCACUUACCUCCGCAUUCGUCACUGAAUUUCCAGGCCUUAACGGACUAGGAAUCUCAGCAGCGCGGUUAGACAUAGCCGAAAAUGGUUCAAUUCCAAUGCAUACUCAUCCCGGUGCUACCGAAUUAUUGAUAAUAGUUCAAGGUGAAAUAACCGCUGGAUUUCUGACACCUACCUCAGUUUAUUCUAAGACGUUGAAACCGGGUGAUCUUAUGGUUUUUCCACAGGGGAUGUUGCAUUUUCAAAUUAACACUGGUAAGGGAAAAGCUACUGCUUUUCUUACAUUUAGUAGUGCUAACCCUGGUGCUCAAUUACUUGAUCUUCUUUUGUUUUCGAAUAAUUUACCUUCUGAAUUGGUGGCACAAACUACUUUCCUUGAUCUUGCACAAGUGCAGAAGCUAAAGGCACGUUUUGGUGGAAGAGGGUAGGGAUAU